CAAGUAAACCAGACAGUCGCUGCUCGUUUUACGAGGAGAGGAAAGUCCGAGCUCCAUAGGGCAGGGUGCUGGGUAACUCCCAGUGGAGGUGACUCCAAGGAAAGUGCAACAGAGAUAUACCGCCGUUUAACGGUAAGGGUGGAAAGGCGAGGUAAGAGCUCACCAGCGCAUUGGCGACUUUGCGGCUAUGUAAACCCCAUCUGGAGCAAGACCGAAUAGGGAAGUAUAUGGGGCUGCCCGUCCCGCUUCCGGGUGCGUCGCUGGAGCUUGACUGGUAACAGCAGGCCUAGAUAGAUGACUGUCAAAUACAGAACUCGGCUUACAGAUUUACUUGUCCA
Molecule: RNase P RNA, 338 nt
Filed under: Clostridium oryzae
Lineage: Bacteria; Bacillati; Bacillota; Clostridia; Eubacteriales; Clostridiaceae
Description: Bacterial RNase P class A
Rfam family: Bacterial RNase P class A
About the family: Ribonuclease P (RNase P) is a ubiquitous endoribonuclease, found in archaea, bacteria and eukarya as well as chloroplasts and mitochondria.
Source: Rfam by way of RNAcentral